This 76-nucleotide transfer RNA is filed under the name Candidatus Magasanikiibacteriota bacterium. RNAcentral's name for it is "Candidatus Magasanikbacteria bacterium tRNA-Asn". It matches the Rfam family "tRNA". Rfam says of the family: Transfer RNA (tRNA) molecules are approximately 80 nucleotides in length. Their secondary structure includes four short double-helical elements and three loops (D, anti-codon, and T loops). Lineage: Bacteria; Candidatus Magasanikiibacteriota. The record is from RNAcentral.
UCCGAGGUAGUUGAGUUGGUACAACACCGCGCUGUUAACGCGGAUAUCGCUGGUUCGAGUCCAGCCCUCGGAGCAA